CCGGGGGACGGACUGGGAAC
Molecule: small RNA, 20 nt
Filed under: Arabidopsis thaliana (thale cress)
Lineage: Eukaryota; Viridiplantae; Streptophyta; Magnoliopsida; Brassicales; Brassicaceae
Description: Ath_wt_19315
Source: RNAcentral